UCUAGAACCACAGGAAACAUUCCACUCCAAAUAGGCCUUUCAAUAUUCGAUCUCUGUAAGUUCUGUGUGUUUGGAAUGGCUGUAUCUAUUCAGCAUUCAGAGUAAAUCCAAAGAAACACAAUCGAAUCAAUGAAAACCACACACAAACCACACAAGCUACAUCCAACCAUGGCUGGUAGAAUCUCAGAUGGUGCUGCAGCAACAACCUGGC
Molecule: long non-coding RNA, 211 nt
Organism: Hypanus sabinus (Atlantic stingray)
Lineage: Eukaryota; Metazoa; Chordata; Chondrichthyes; Myliobatiformes; Dasyatidae
Exons: 3
Source: RefSeq, a predicted model, not a curated record